GAUGAACGCUGGCGGCGUGCCUAAUACAUGCAAGUCGAGCGAACAGACGAGGAGCUUGCUCCUCUGACGUUAGCGGCGGACGGGUGAGUAACACGUGGAUAACCUACCUAUAAGACUGGGAUAACUUCGGGAAACCGGAGCUAAUACCGGAUAAUAUAUUGAACCGCAUGGUUCAAUAGUGAAAGACGGUUUUGCUGUCACUUAUAGAUGGAUCCGCGCCGCAUUAGCUAGUUGGUACGGUAACGGCUUACCAAGGCAACGAUGCGUAGCCGACCUGAGAGGGUGGUCGGCCACACUGGAACUUAGACACGGUCCAUACUCCUACGGGAGGCAGCAGUAGGGAAUCUUCCGCAAUGGGCGAAAGCCUUACGGAGCAACGCCGCGUGAGUGAUGAAGGUCUUCGGAUCGUAAAACUCUGUUAUUAGGGAAGAACAAAUGUGUAAGUAACUAUGCACGUCUUGACGGUACCUAAUCAGAAAGCCACGGCUAACUACGUG
Molecule: ribosomal RNA, 497 nt
Filed under: uncultured bacterium
Lineage: Bacteria
Description: partial 16S ribosomal RNA
Rfam family: Bacterial small subunit ribosomal RNA
Source: RNAcentral